This 180-nucleotide non-coding RNA is filed under the name Geotalea uraniireducens Rf4. RNAcentral's name for it is "Geobacter uraniireducens Rf4 6S / SsrS RNA". It matches the Rfam family "6S / SsrS RNA". Rfam says of the family: E. coli 6S RNA was the first non coding RNA to be sequenced, but its function was unknown until recently. The record is from Rfam by way of RNAcentral. Lineage: Bacteria; Pseudomonadati; Thermodesulfobacteriota; Desulfuromonadia; Geobacterales; Geobacteraceae.
ACAGCUCUGGAAUACAGGUAAUCGCAGAAGAGGAACCUGACUAUUAAUUAAAUGACAACAUCUUCGAGUACGGACGCGGUGUGCAAGCCCUCUUUGGAGAAGGAAGCCUGAAGCGUUUUCUUGGAAGAUAAUUGAAAAAAGGUCAGCGGCUCAAACAGCAUACGGUAUUUUGGAGCAACC